UUGUAAUAUCAUGCAUGGGUCACUUGGAAAAUAUUGAUUCACAGGUGCAAAUCACCCAGAUGUUGACACACUUCAUUACACCAUAUGUUUAAAAAUCACUUUUGUAAUAUCAGCAUUGAUCUCAUCAGAAAAGACUCCAAGUCUUGGCACGCCACUGUCAAGCUCCCAAGGAGCUUGUGGGGACCUCACUUGAAGAACUGCUGAUUUAGGAAUUGUUAGUUAACUGCUGACUGAGGUCUGCCUUAAGGCUACUUCCCUCUCUGGGAUUGUGGGAGUCGUGUGUAUAUCCUUAACAUCUGUUGCUAUGCCUGGUGAAUAGCAAGUGGUCAAAAUACACCUGGAUUGCAUAAUGUUCUGGCUGAGCGCUGAAGAACUGAUGCUUUUGAACUGUGGUGUUGGAGAAGACUCUUGAGAGUCCCUUGGACUGCAAGGAGAUCCAACCAGUCCAUUCUAGAGGAGAUCAGCCCUGGGUGUUCUUUGGAAGGAAUGAUGCUAAAGCUGAAACUCCAGUACUUUGGCCACCUCUUGCGAAGAGUUGACUCAUUGGAAAAGACUCUGAUGCUGGGAGGGAUUGGGGGCAGGAGGAGAAGGGGACGACAGAGGAUGAGAUGGCUGGAUGGCAUCACUGACUCGAUGGACGUGAGUCUGAGUGAAUUCUGGGAGUUGGUGAUGGACAGGGAGGCCUGGUGUGCUGUGAUUCUGGGGUUGCAAAGAGUCGGACACGAUUGAGUGACUGAACUGAACUGAAUGUUCUACUGUAUGUAUAUACCGCAUUUUGUUUAUUCAUUUGUUGAUGGACAUUUGGGUUGCUUCUACCUCUUGGCAAUAGUGAAUAGUGUUGCUGUGAACGUGGGUCUGCAAAUAUCUCUUCAGAACCCAGCUUUCAGUUCUUUGGGAUAUAUACCCAGAAGUAAAAUUGCUGCGUCACGUGGUAGUUCUAGUUUUAACUUUCUGAGGAACCUCCAUAAUGUUUCCAUAGCAAUUGCACCAUCUUUCAAUCUCCCCAAUAGUGUAAUAUGUUCAUUUUUCUUCUCAUCUUUGCCGACAUUUCUUUUUCUUUUUUUUCCCUCCUUUUUCCUUCUUCCUGCCUGCCUAUCUGCCAUCCUAAUCAGCAUGAGGUGAAAUAUCAUUGCAGAUUUGAUUUGCAUUUUCUGUACUGUUAGUGAAGUUAAUCAUCCUUUUAUAUUCCUGCUGGCUAUUGUAU
Bos taurus (domestic cattle) is the source of this 1204-nucleotide long non-coding RNA. The record is from Ensembl. Lineage: Eukaryota; Metazoa; Chordata; Mammalia; Artiodactyla; Bovidae.